CCCUGAUGCCAGCUUUUUUGGGAAGGGACGACACCCUCUUCUCCCAGGCUCUCACACUGCCAUUGGGGAGAUAUGCCGCCUUCAUCCUCUUCCUGAACUGGACUCUGCUGUUGGGGAUCUGGGAAGGAUGCCCCUCAUCCCUAUGGGGCUGGUGUGGAGACCUCAGUCCCAUCCAUGAGGUCUUCCCAGGACCAGUCUAUUAGAUCUCCU
Pelobates cultripes (western spadefoot toad) is the source of this 210-nucleotide non-coding RNA. Lineage: Eukaryota; Metazoa; Chordata; Amphibia; Anura; Pelobatidae. The record is from the annotation of a GenBank genome assembly.